UUGGAGUAAGAAGACGAAGGGUUGAACACUUCGAGCGAGCCACGUUGGUCUCUGGGAAAUGCCUCCAUUCUGCUGACUCUCUGUUCCAUUCAUGCACAUGUCACACAAUCAAUCUCUCAAAAAGUAAGAAUUAACUACGCAAAUCACUUGUCAGUACUCAGUUACCAUAGUUAUAGACAAUAAAUCCCUGCAUUUUUCUGUUGAAUGAGAACAAAAAAUUCAUGGAAGACUAUGAGUUUCAUGUUAUAGAAUUUGUGUGCUGUUGUUGUUAGUUGGUAACAAAAGAUUUGAAAAAAAGACUGGGGUCACAUCUGGUAUGAACAAAAGACAUGAGUGGAUGUCUUGUAUGGUAAAUUUGUGAAAUGAAUACUAAAUCUCUGCGUGUUGUUGAAGUGGGAUGAGGAUGGAGAUUGAGUUCAGUGUUUGAUGUGUACUUUGGAACUAACAUAUGAUGUCGUCCAAGUAUGAUAUGAUGGUGGUGCAGUGUUAGUAAUUCGAAUGGCAAGGGCAUGUGGUAGGAGUGGGACUCGUACAGCGAAUGAUGAGUUGUGUGGGGCUUUUUGCUGGUUCAUCACUUUUUUUCAGGCUAAUUUUGUUUGCUUGAGGGUGGGAGAUUGCAAUGAGUGGUGGAGGUUGAUUACUUAGGAGGGGACACUAAUUAAUGCAUCGAAACAUAACUGAGAUAAGACACUGUCUGGGUUUUUCGCUAAUUAUGUCAGAACACAAGUGUCCCCAAUGGAUAGAGGAAAAUCCCCAGAGAAGGACACGUAAUGAUAGGAGAGAAAUUUGGAUGAAAAGCUGUGGUGAGCCAAAAGUGCUUCUUCUGCUUGCGUGGAACAGAAAUGAAUGUUGGGGAAUUUUUCAUGCCAUCCAUCUAACAGACUAAUCAGAAUGACUUCCUAAACCACCAUGAUUUGAUUCCUAAACUGUCCAGAUAUAAAUUGACGUAGUGCAAGGACAGUUAUAGAAUUGUGAGAAAAGUUCAAAAGUUAACUAAUUCCAGCAUGAAAAAAGAAAAAUCAUUACUGUGAUUAGAAAUGUUUCACAGUUUAAUAAUACCUCUUGCUGUGUGUGAUUAGAAAUGUUUUACAGUGUAAUACCUCUUGUGCUUUGCAGGGUCAGAAAUCUUCUGAAUUUGGCAGUGGUAGGAGGUGUGGACUUGUGUUGCUGCUUCUUGUUAAAGAAAUUUGCACACAAUAUAAACAGAGAGAA
Molecule: long non-coding RNA, 1212 nt
Filed under: Vigna radiata
Lineage: Eukaryota; Viridiplantae; Streptophyta; Magnoliopsida; Fabales; Fabaceae
Description: long non-coding RNA (VRAD_LNC001484)
Source: RNAcentral